UCAGGACGUGAUGGCACCACCUCGACGUUCAGCGAGAUCCGCUCCGGCAUUGCCUACUGAGGUGCCCGAGCAAUCUGGAUCGGAUGAAGUGCGUGAGUUGCGAGCCCAAGUGGCGGCUUUGGCCGGGGCUAUGCAGUGGCAGGAGAAGCAGAUCGGGAGGCUCCAUGAGUUGGUGGCACGACAGGCGGCGGCGGUUACACUUGUACCUUAGGACCCGCCCGCACCUGUGGCACCUAUUCCUGCGGUGGCGGCUGCUACGGUGACGGCUAUUCCUCCGACGGCUUCGGGUUCUUCGGCUCUUGAUCUAAUACACUUGAGGCCGAGAAGAAGCGGUCGUUGGCGGUGUUGACGGCCCUUAAGCGGUUCAACCCUCCGACUUUCAAUCGUGA
Molecule: long non-coding RNA, 389 nt
Filed under: Ananas comosus (pineapple)
Lineage: Eukaryota; Viridiplantae; Streptophyta; Magnoliopsida; Poales; Bromeliaceae
Description: long non-coding RNA (ACOM_LNC029198)
Source: RNAcentral